AUGGAUCUUGGUGGUCGUGCUUUGCAACAACAUGAUGAAUUUAGCUGGAUCAUGAGGCCCAAUUUUUGGAGUAGCAACUAUAUGAAGUGUACAAUGAAAUGGGAUAGCACAAGGAAGAGCUUUGAUGCAUUUGAGGCUUCUAGGGACACACAACGUUGUGGAUUACAUAGGUUGUGUUCUUGGAGGGUUACACAAGAUGGGUUUUACUUUAGUAAUGAUGAAGUGAGUUGGAGAAAAGAUUUCAUAUGGUGA
This is a non-coding RNA of Vicia faba (fava bean), 252 nucleotides long. Lineage: Eukaryota; Viridiplantae; Streptophyta; Magnoliopsida; Fabales; Fabaceae. The record is from the annotation of a GenBank genome assembly.